Long non-coding RNA from Saccostrea cuccullata (small rock oyster), 2227 nucleotides. RefSeq lists it as uncharacterized. The transcript is spliced from 5 exons. Lineage: Eukaryota; Metazoa; Mollusca; Bivalvia; Ostreida; Ostreidae. The record is from RefSeq and is a predicted model, not a curated record.
UAGCCAACUCUUUUGAUUUUUUGGAACUUAUGAAUUAUGACAAGAGAGAAGAAAACUGACUUUAAAAGAAAACCGGUGAGAUUAAAUCAUAUGAAAUGUAUGAUGAAUCAGGAUGUGAUCAUUUGAGGCAUUCACCAAUGUCAUUACUAAUGACAAACAGGAGAAACGGAGACGGGAGAAUGGAAAGACUGAUCUUCACAGACAGCAGUCAAAACAAAGCAAAAGAAAGCGUUCAAAACUGGAAAGAAGAAAGAAGGCUGUGGAACAUCUUAAGUUAUCUAGAGGAGUCAUGGACCCCAACAUCUAAAAAGAACUUGACGGAGUGCCUUCAGUUGGACAUAACUUCACCUGAGAAGACUGAUGACGAAAACUCAACAAAGUGGGUCAGGCUCCCAUUUUCCUGGAAAACAACCAGACUGUGCAAGGGAAAAGAGGCACUGGACAAGGCAUAUAGAACAAGGUCCUGAAGACCGAAUCUGCAGAUGCCAGUUGGUAUUUGUAAGGGAUGGUAGAGAGGACACAACAACACCUCCUCCUGAGAAGUGUCCAGUUUGGGCCAUUUCCAGGGACUACUCCUCAUAGAGGUCAAACGAGGUUUCAGCUAUCAAAAGAAUACAAGAAAAAGAACUUUUUAAUUCUGUGGUUGGGGAUUUCCAGAUGUAAAUAUUGAUAGUUGUUUUGUUUUUUUUCAAUGUACCUGUAAUCAACAGUUCAGGAUAUAUAGUUUUUCAUUGUUGGUCUGUCUGUCUGCAGAAGUGUAAACCAGGCCUAAAGCUUUUGAGUGGAUGGGGCGACUGAUUUCACAGAUGUAUUCUUAGUGACCAGACUUGUUGACCUCCUUACAUGGACCUUUGAGUUUCAACCACUUUAACAAAAAAAUUAAACUGUAUUCUUGGCCACAACUUUCAAAUAGUUGAUGCUAGAGCUUUCACUUUUGCAUUCCAUUUGACAAGACUUUCAACAGGUAUAAAUAUUUUUUUGACAUUGACCUUCGAGUUGGACUCACUUUUAAAAUAUUUUAACCUUGGACAGAACUUUUGAAAAGCAAGUACUAAGGCUUUCAUAUUUCGACGGUGACAAAACCUUUCUCUCGAUACCAACAUUUUUUACCUUGACCUUUGACUUGCAAAUGAGAAACUACAACACACACAAUAAGCUGUCAUUUGGGGGCAUCAGUGUUUCACAAACACAUUUUUAAAUCAACAAGCAAAUUCAAAGAAUUGUGGUCCCCCGCUUUCAGUGUCUUUUGGGUGAGAUGUCAUUUUUUAUGACAUUUUGCGUAUAAUAUGAACGCCCUAUCAUAAGUCAUCUAUUUAGAAAUUAUCACUGAACUCCAAGGUCAAGGUCAAAGGGUUAACAUUCUUGUAUCCAAUGAAAAGUCUUCUCAAAAGGAUUACAUGAAGUAUGAAAGCCUUAGCCCUUACCAUUCAAAAGUUAUGGUCAACCUUAAAGUUUUCUCAUAAGUACUAAAAAAAUCUAAAAGGUCAAGGUCAAAAGGUCAAGGUUGUUGGUAUCAAAUGAAAGGUCUUGCCACAAAGAAUACAUAUGUGAAGUAUGAAAUUUCUGGUAUCUACUGUUCAAAAGUUGUGGCCAAGGUCAAAGUUUUUGAAAAGUAGGUCAAAUUCCAAGGUCAAGGUCCAAAAGGCAAAGUUCUUGGCAUUCAAUGAAAGGUCUUCUCACAAGAAUUAUAUAUGUGAAGUAUGAAAGCCCUUGUCCUUACCAUUCUAAACUUAUGGAUAAGGUUAAAGUUUUCUUAUAAGUACGAAAACAUCCUAGGUAAAGGUCAAAAGGUCAAAGUUGUUGGUAUCCAAUAAAAGGUCUUCCUACAAAGAAUACAUAUGUGAAAUAUGAAAGUCCUAGUACCUACCAUUCAAAAGUUAUGGCCAAAGUCAAAGUUUGGAAUUUUUGUGUAAAAUUGGGUCAAACUCCAAGGUCAAGGUCAAAAGAUCGAAUUUGAUGGUACCAAAAGAAAGGUCUUGUCUUAAGGAAUACACAUAUGAAAUAUGAAAGUCAUGGCUCCACUAAAUCAAAAGUUAUGGGCAAGGUUAAAGUUUUUGUGAUUGAUGGACAGCUAGACAGACGGACAGACAAAUGAGAUUUAAUAUCCCCUUGCUUUCCCGAAAGCAAGGGACAAUUAUUAACAGCUCUUAAGCUGUUCAAGCAGUAGAAUACAGUAGAAUUCAGAGGUUAUAUUUUGUCAAUACCUCAAGAAUCGGAUUCUAUGAUU